This 331-nucleotide ribosomal RNA is filed under the name uncultured eukaryote. RNAcentral describes it as "partial 18S ribosomal RNA". It matches the Rfam family "Eukaryotic small subunit ribosomal RNA", at positions 1470 to 1796 of the family's 1831-position model. The record is from RNAcentral.
CCCUUAGAUGUUCUGGGCCGCACGCGCGCUACACUGACGAAGUCAGCGAGCAUGUCCUACGCCGAUAGGUGCGGGGAAUCUUGUCAAACUUCGUCGUGAUGGGGAUUGAUUAUUGAAAUUCUUGAUCAUCAACGAGGAAUUCCUAGUAAGCGCAAGUCAGCAGCUUGCGUUGAUUACGUCCCUGCCCUUUGUACACACCGCCCGUCGCUACUACCGAUUGAAUGGUUUAGUGAGAUCUUCGGAUUGGCGCCACUGCGGCUCAGCAAUGGGCUCGGUGGAUGCCGAAAAGUUGAUCAAACUUGAUCAUUUAGAGGAAGUAAAAGUCGUAACA